UACGGAGGAUGCAAGCGUUAUCCGGAUUUAUUGGGUUUAAAGGGUGCGUAGGCGGAUAUGUAAGUCAGCGGUGAAACUCACAGGCUCAACCUGUGCCGUGCCGUUGAAACUGUGUAUCUGGAAUGCGGAUGCUGUGGGAGGAAUGUGUAGUGUAGCGGUGAAAUGCAUAGAUAUUACACAGAACACCGAUUGCGAAUGCAUCUCACAAAGCCGUUAUUGACGCUGAGGCACGAAAGUGUGGGGAU
Molecule: ribosomal RNA, 245 nt
Filed under: uncultured prokaryote
Description: partial 16S ribosomal RNA
Rfam family: Bacterial small subunit ribosomal RNA
Source: RNAcentral